RNAcentral lists this ribosomal RNA (403 nucleotides) under uncultured bacterium. RNAcentral's name for it is "partial 16S ribosomal RNA". It matches the Rfam family "Bacterial small subunit ribosomal RNA", at positions 28 to 526 of the family's 1533-position model. The record is from RNAcentral.
GACGAACGCUGGCGGCGUGCCUAAUACAUGCAAGUCGAACGCAGUGGGGACGGGUGAGUAACACGUGGGUCACCUCCCAUCAGAGGGGAUAACACUUGGAAACAGGUGCUAACCCGAUACCGAUGGAUGGACCCGCGGUGCAUUAGCUAGUUGGUGAGGUAACGGCUCACCAAGGCCACGAUGCAUAGCCGACCUGGGAGGGGGAUGGGCCACACUGGGACUGGGACACGGCCCAGACUCCUACGGGAGGCAUCAGUAGGAAAUCUUCGGCAAUGGACGAAAGGCUGACCGACAAACGCCGCGUAAGUGAAGAAGGUUUUCGGAUCGUAAGACUCUGUUGUUAGAGAAGCGGUAGCUAACCAGAAAGCCACGGCUAACUACGUGCCAGCAGCCGCGGUAAUUC